Zonotrichia leucophrys gambelii is the source of this 388-nucleotide long non-coding RNA. RefSeq lists it as uncharacterized. NCBI's taxonomy places the organism in Eukaryota, Metazoa, Chordata, Aves, Passeriformes, Passerellidae. The record is from RefSeq and is a predicted model, not a curated record. The transcript has 5 exons.
AGGCAGCGCUGCCCAGAGCCAGAGGAAGAUGAAGGUGGCUGUUCUCAGCGUGGCCCUGCUCUUCUCCAUCCUGCUGUGCCCCCCGGCACAGGCCAAGGCACUCCUGGAAGGAACCCAAGAUGAUCUCCGGGAGUUGGAUUUAGACAAUGUUGUGGUCCUGGAGACGCCUCUGCCCCCUGUGGCUGAAGAGCUGCGGGCUCUCCUGCGGCAGAAGCGCCUGGCUGCCGCUCUGGAUGCCUAGGGUGUGAAGGACCAGUGGACUUUAUCCUCUCCAGUGGCAUGAGGAGAUGAUCAUCCCUGGAGGAACCCCCUGAACUCUUUGAGCCCUGGGCCAUUUCCCCUGAAUAAUCAUUCAUCAAGAAUCAGUAAACCCUUUGAGCAAAGCUUU